UGUGUGUGUGUGGGUGUGUGUGUGUGUGUGUGUGUGUAUAUGCGCGCGCACACACACACAUACUCACGUG
This is a non-coding RNA of Podarcis lilfordi (Lilford's wall lizard), 70 nucleotides long. The record is from the annotation of a GenBank genome assembly. NCBI's taxonomy places the organism in Eukaryota, Metazoa, Chordata, Lepidosauria, Squamata, Lacertidae.